CAAGGUCAACCCAACCCAAGGUCAACCAAGGUCAACCCAAGGUCAGCCAAGGUCAACCAAACCCAACUCAACGUCAACCAAGGUCAACCCAAUCCAAGUCAAGGUCAACCAAGGUCAACCCAACCCUUGGUCAACCCAACCAAUGGUCAGCAAGGCCAAACCAACCCAACGACCAACGCGAGUCAAGACCGGACAAUCGAUGGUCAACGUCAAGACCAACCCAACGGUCAUCUCAAGACCAACCCAAUGGUCAGCUCAAGAUCAAGACCACCCCAGUGGUCAGCCCAAUUAACCGUUCACGAAAUCAAGACCAACCCAACGGUCAUCUCCAUCCAU
Junco hyemalis (dark-eyed junco) is the source of this 336-nucleotide long non-coding RNA. NCBI's taxonomy places the organism in Eukaryota, Metazoa, Chordata, Aves, Passeriformes, Passerellidae. The record is from Ensembl.